RNAcentral lists this ribosomal RNA (303 nucleotides) under uncultured bacterium. RNAcentral's name for it is "partial 16S ribosomal RNA". It matches the Rfam family "Bacterial small subunit ribosomal RNA", at positions 507 to 807 of the family's 1533-position model. The record is from RNAcentral.
AGCAGUAGCCGCGGGAAUACAGAGGGUGCGAGCGUUAAUCGGAUUUACUGGGCGUAAAGCGUGCGUAGGCGGCUUUUUAAGUCGGAUGUGAAAUCCCUGAGCUUAACUUAGGAAUUGCAUUCGAUACUGGGAAGCUAGAGUAUGGGAGAGGAUGGUAGAAUUCCAGGUGUAGCGGUGAAAUGCGUAGAGAUCUGGAGGAAUACCGAUGGCGAAGGCAGCCAUCUGGCCUAAUACUGACGCUGAGGUGCGAAAGCGUGGGGAGCAAACAGGAUUAGAUACCCGGGUAGUCCCUGUCUCUUAUAC